CAGAAAUACUGCAAGCAAACUGAAAACAACCCAUCCAUGUAGGAAAGAAUAACACGGACUACACGUUAUUCAAGGACACGGAAAAGCCAACACCAUGGUAGCAUUAAUGAAAGUUUACCAAGAGGAAGAUGAAGCCUACCAGGAAUUAGUUACCGUGGCAACCACGUUCUUCCAGUACUUAUUGCGGCCAUUUAGGGCUAUGCGAGAAGUUGCAACUUUAUAAGUCCUUGGAUGAGGAUGACCUAGGUCCUAGAAGGGUAGUUGCCCUGGAG
This 272-nucleotide long non-coding RNA is filed under the name Homo sapiens (human). RNAcentral's name for it is "non-protein coding lnc-APBA2-1:4". The record is from RNAcentral. Lineage: Eukaryota; Metazoa; Chordata; Mammalia; Primates; Hominidae.